This 73-nucleotide transfer RNA is filed under the name Myxococcales bacterium. Its description in RNAcentral is "tRNA-Ala". It matches the Rfam family "tRNA". From Rfam's summary of the family: Transfer RNA (tRNA) molecules are approximately 80 nucleotides in length. Lineage: Bacteria; Pseudomonadati; Myxococcota; Myxococcia; Myxococcales. The record is from RNAcentral.
GGGGCGUUAGCUCAGCUGGGAGAGCAUCGGCUUUGCAAGCCGAGGGUCAAGGGUUCGAUUCCCUUACGCUCCA